RNAcentral lists this ribosomal RNA (507 nucleotides) under Vibrio cholerae. RNAcentral describes it as "bacterial SSU rRNA". It matches the Rfam family "Bacterial small subunit ribosomal RNA", at positions 36 to 525 of the family's 1533-position model. Lineage: Bacteria; Pseudomonadati; Pseudomonadota; Gammaproteobacteria; Vibrionales; Vibrionaceae. The record is from RNAcentral.
UGUUUAACCUCGAGGCGGCUCAACACAGCAAGUCGAGCGGCAGAACAGAGGAACUUGUUCUUGGGUGGCGAGCGGCGGACGGGUGAGUAAUGCCUGGGAAAUUGCCCGGUAGAGGGGGAUAACCAUUGGAAACGAUGGCUAAUACCGCAUAACCUCGCAAGAGCAAAGCAGGGGACCUUCGGGCCUUGCGCUACCGGAUAUGCCCAGGUGGGAUUAGCUAGUUGGUGAGGUAAGGGCUCACCAAGGCGACGAUCCCUAGCUGGUCUGAGAGGAUGAUCAGCCACACUGGAACUGAGACACGGUCCAGACUCCUACGGGAGGCAGCAGUGGGGAAUAUUGCACAAUGGGCGCAAGCCUGAUGCAGCCAUGCCGCGUGUAUGAAGAAGGCCUUCGGGUUGUAAAGUACUUUCAGUAGGGAGGAAGGUGGUUAAGUUAAUACCUUAAUCAUUUGACGUUACCUACAGAAGAAGCACCGGCUAACUCCGUGCCAGCAGCCGCGGAAAUUAA